GGGGAGCCGCAACCGGGAGGGAGCCGCCAGCCUGGGGACAGUGGGGCUGAGCCCCGUCCUGCUCCCGGAUCCGCGCCAGGCCUCAGUCCUCCCCGUCCGGGCAAUGGGACCUCCAGUGCCACCUCCAGGACCUCGUGAGAAGACGGGUAGACCAGGCUGCGCCCGCGGGGGAACCUCUGUCGGUGUCUCUUCCAAUUGCUGCCCCCCCACCUGGGCCCUGUAACGGGCUGAAUGGUGGCCCCCAGGACACACGGGUAUGUCCCAGUCCUGGGAACUUGUGCAUGUGACCUUAUUUGGAAAAAGGGUCUUUGCAGAUGGAAUUAGGUUAAGGAUGCGGAGUGCAGAUCAUCCUGGAUUAGAGGGGUUCUAAAUCCAAUGACAGGCAUCUUUAGAAGAGAAGGGAGAGGUGUGUGUGGGGGGAGGCCAAGUGAAAGAUGGAGGCAGAGACCAGGGUGAGGCAUCUACCAGCCAAGGAACCCCAGGAUUGCUGGAGAGAGUGAGGCAGGUAAUAGAUUCCCUCCAGAGACUCCAGGAGGAGACACCCCGGCAGACACCCCAAUUUCAGACUUCUGGAGAGAAUAGAUGUCUGUCAUUUUAAGCACCCCCCCAUCUGUGGCAUUUUGUCAGGAAAUGAAGCACACGACCUCAAGUAGAUGACUUCUGUGUUCUCUCCCGUCUCUCCUAGUUACAUCACUGUGGUGGUCUUCUGUGUCGCAGGAACACGUUGCAUUCACUCCUACCACAGGGCCUUUACACAUGCUCUUCCCCCCUCACAUAUGUUCAUGCUAUCCAUGUGUCAGUUCAGAAGCUGUCUCCUCAAAGAGGCUGCCUCCCACUCACCACCCUACCCCAUGGCUCAAGUUUUUUUUUGUUUUUUUUUUUUUGGUACAAUGCACUUUUCCUUAAAUGGGGAACAAAUGCCCUUAAAAUUGACCACUUUACACUCGGUAGGGUGCAACUCAGAGGCAUUGAUACACUGAUAGUCAUGCACCACCUCCAUUUCCUCAUCCAGAACAGUUUACCACCCUUAGUGGAAGCCCGUCCCCCGAGCAGCCUCCUCCCGCACCCACAGGUCCACACCCCAUCUCUGGACUGUCCUGUCCUGGACUCUCCUGUCACUGGGUCAUACACUGUGGCCUUGUGUGUCUGGUUCUCACUGAGCAUGAGGUCCUCAGGUCCCUCCAUGCUGCAGCUGUGUCACCUCACUCCUGCUGGUGGCCAAGGGACCUCUGGGUGUGGGUGGAGCCCAUUUUAUGUAUCUGUUCAUCUGCUGAUUACACUUGAGAUGGGUUCCACUUUGGGGCUGCUAUGAACACAUGGGCACAAGUACUUGCUUGGGUCCCUGUUCUCAGCGCUCCCGUGGGAGUGCCGAGGGGGGGAUUUCUGGGUCAUGCUGUAAUUCUAUCUUUCACUUAUUGAAGAACACGAUUUUUUUCUCAGAAGUUGCCACUCAGAAAUUAUUUCUUUGUUUCUGUGGUUAUUCUCUGUUCCACUUUUACUAGAAUAUGAAUCUCCAGGGAGAAGGACUCUUGAUCUCACUCACAGAUAUACUGUCCCCCAGGGGGUAGCACCUGACACUAGGGUGGUCAAGAGCCACCAUGUAUUAGUUGGCUUUGUGUUACUACAACAAAAUGCCUAAAGCAGAUAACUUAUAAAGAGAAAAGGUUGGGUGUGUAGCUCAUUGGUAGAGCACUGAGCAUGCAUGAGGCCCUGGGUUCCAUCUCUAAAGCAUAUGUACACACACACAUACACAUGUGGGAGGCCAACCUUACGGGUGACUGGUCACAGAAAUGGGUGUGUCUUGUUACAGCCCCAUGGGUGAAGCUAUGCUCACCUGUUCCUUUGUAAUGUAACCCCUUGCCCUGUUUUCGAAGUGCCUUGUGUGUGUCCCCUCCUCUUACUGUGCCCUUGGGUGUGGCCUACCCAGGUGUCAGUCAACCUGCUGACAGUGGACAUCAUGAAGAUAGACUCAGCCCCCUGAAACCUGACCCCUUGCCUCAUUUGAAUAGCUUCUCCUCAAUAAAAGGGGUCAGCGCGUGCUCUCGCUCUCUCUCUUUCUGCGGACCCUUAAGGUCAGAGGAGCUGUCACAGCAACCCCAAAGAAAAAG
This 2108-nucleotide long non-coding RNA is filed under the name Marmota monax (woodchuck). Lineage: Eukaryota; Metazoa; Chordata; Mammalia; Rodentia; Sciuridae. The record is from RNAcentral.